GUAAGGAAUAUUGCGCAAUGGGCGAAAGCUAGACGCAGCAACGCCGCGUGGGCGAUGAAGGCCUUCGGGUUGUAAAGCCCUUUUCUGGGGGAAGAGCAAGGACGGUACCCCAGGAAUAAGCGUCGGCUAACUACGUGCCAGCAGCCGCGGUAAAACGUAGGACGCAAGCGUUAUCCGGAUUCACUGGGCGUAAAGUGCGUUGAGGCGGUUCUGUAAGUUGGACGUGAAAGCCCCGAGCUCAACUCGGGGAGGCCGUUCAAUACUGCGGGACUUGAGGGCAGCAGAGGGAGGCGGAAUUCCCGGUGUAGUGGUGAAAUGCGUAGAUAUCGGGAGGAACACCAGUGGCGAAAGCGGCCUCCUGGGCUGUCCCUGACGCUGAAGGCGAAAGCCAGGGGAGCGAACGGGAUUAGAAACCCCAGUAGUCC
Molecule: ribosomal RNA, 425 nt
Filed under: uncultured bacterium
Lineage: Bacteria
Description: bacterial SSU rRNA
Rfam family: Bacterial small subunit ribosomal RNA
Source: RNAcentral